This 2898-nucleotide ribosomal RNA is filed under the name Neisseria gonorrhoeae. RNAcentral's name for it is "23S ribosomal RNA". It matches the Rfam family "Bacterial large subunit ribosomal RNA". The record is from RNAcentral. Lineage: Bacteria; Pseudomonadati; Pseudomonadota; Betaproteobacteria; Neisseriales; Neisseriaceae.
AUAGAGUCAAGUGAAUAAGUGCAUCAGGCGGAUGCCUUGGCGAUGAUAGGCGACGAAGGACGUGUAAGCCUGCGAAAAGCGCGGGGGAGCUGGCAAUAAAGCUAUGAUUCCGCGAUGUCCGAAUGGGGAAACCCACUGCAUUCUGUGCAGUAUCCUAAGUUGAAUACAUAGGCUUAGAGAAGCGAACCCGGAGAACUGAACCAUCUAAGUACCCGGAGGAAAAGAAAUCAACCGAGAUUCCGCAAGUAGUGGCGAGCGAACGCGGAGGAGCCUGUACGUAAUAACUGUCGAGAUAGAAGAACAAGCUGGGAAGCUUGACCAUAGCGGGCGACAGUCCCGUAUUCGAAAUCUCAACAGCGGUACUAAGCGUACGAAAAGUAGGGCGGGACACGUGAAAUCCUGUCUGAAUAUGGGGGGACCAUCCUCCAAGGCUAAAUACUCAUCAUCGACCGAUAGUGAACCAGUACCGUGAGGGAAAGGCGAAAAGAACCCCGGGAGGGGAGUGAAACAGAACCUGAAACCUGAUGCAUACAAACAGUGGGAGCGCCCUAGUGGUGUGACUGCGUACCUUUUGUAUAAUGGGUCAACGACUUACAUUCAGUAGCGAGCUUAACCGGAUAGGGGAGGCGUAGGGAAACCGAGUCUUAAUAGGGCGAUGAGUUGCUGGGUGUAGACCCGAAACCGAGUGAUCUAUCCAUGGCCAGGUUGAAGGUGCCGUAACAGGUACUGGAGGACCGAACCCACGCAUGUUGCAAAAUGCGGGGAUGAGCUGUGGGUAGGGGUGAAAGGCUAAACAAACUCGGAGAUAGCUGGUUCUCCCCGAAAACUAUUUAGGUAGUGCCUCGAGCAAGACACUGAUGGGGGUAAAGCACUGUUAUGGCUAGGGGGUUAUUGCAACUUACCAACCCAUGGCAAACUCAGAAUACCAUCAAGUGGUUCCUCGGGAGACAGACAGCGGGUGCUAACGUCCGUUGUCAAGAGGGAAACAACCCAGACCGCCGGCUAAGGUCCCAAAUGAUAGAUUAAGUGGUAAACGAAGUGGGAAGGCACAGACAGCCAGGAUGUUGGCUUAGAAGCAGCCAUCAUUUAAAGAAAGCGUAAUAGCUCACUGGUCGAGUCGUCCUGCGCGGAAGAUGUAACGGGGCUCAAAUCUAUAACCGAAGCUGCGGAUGCCGGUUUACCGGCAUGGUAGGGGAGCGUUCUGUAGGCUGAUGAAGGUGCAUUGUAAAGUGUGCUGGAGGUAUCAGAAGUGCGAAUGUUGACAUGAGUAGCGAUAAAGCGGGUGAAAAGCCCGCUCGCCGAAAGCCCAAGGUUUCCUACGCAACGUUCAUCGGCGUAGGGUAAGUCGGCCCCUAAGGCGAGGCAGAAAUGCGUAGUCGAUGGGAAACAGGUUAAUAUUCCUGUACUUGAUUCAAAUGCGAUGUGGGGACGGAGAAGGUUAGGUUGGCAAGCUGUUGGAAUAGCUUGUUUAAGCCGGUAGGUGGAAGACUUAGGCAAAUCCGGGUUUUCUUAACACCGAGAAGUGAUGACGAGUGUCUACGGACACGAAGCAACCGAUACCACGCUUCCAGGAAAAGCCACUAAGCUUCAGUUUGAAUCGAACCGUACCGCAAACCGACACAGGUGGGCAGGAUGAGAAUUCUAAGGCGCUUGAGAGAACUCGGGAGAAGGAACUCGGCAAAUUGAUACCGUAACUUCGGGAGAAGGUAUGCCCUCUAAGGUUAAGGACUUGCUCCGUAAGCCCCGGAGGGUCGCAGAGAAUAGGUGGCUGCGACUGUUUAUUAAAAACACAGCACUCUGCCAACACGAAAGUGGACGUAUAGGGUGUGACGCCUGCCCGGUGCCGGAAGGUUAAUUGAAGAUGUGCAAGCAUCGGAUCGAAGCCCCGGUAAACGGCGGCCGUAACUAUAACGGUCCUAAGGUAGCGAAAUUCCUUGUCGGGUAAGUUCCGACCCGCACGAAUGGCGUAACGAUGACCACACUGUCUCCUCCCGAGACUCAGCGAAGUUGAAGUGGUUGUGAAGAUGCAAUCUACCCGCUGCUAGACGGAAAGACCCCGUGAACCUUUACUGUAGCUUUGCAUUGGACUUUGAAGUCACUUGUGUAGGAUAGGUGGGAGGCUUGGAAGCAGAGACGCCAGUCUCUGUGGAGUCGUCCUUGAAAUACCACCCUGGUGUCUUUGAGGUUCUAACCCAGACCCGUCAUCCGGGUCGGGGACCGUGCAUGGUAGGCAGUUUGACUGGGGCGGUCUCCUCCCAAAGCGUAACGGAGGAGUUCGAAGGUUACCUAGGUCCGGUCGGAAAUCGGACUGAUAGUGCAAUGGCAAAAGGUAGCUUAACUGCGAGACCGACAAGUCGGGCAGGUGCGAAAGCAGGACAUAGUGAUCCGGUGGUUCUGUAUGGAAGGGCCAUCGCUCAACGGAUAAAAGGUACUCCGGGGAUAACAGGCUGAUUCCGCCCAAGAGUUCAUAUCGACGGCGGAGUUUGGCACCUCGAUGUCGGCUCAUCACAUCCUGGGGCUGUAGUCGGUCCCAAGGGUAUGGCUGUUCGCCAUUUAAAGUGGUACGUGAGCUGGGUUUAAAACGUCGUGAGACAGUUUGGUCCCUAUCUGCAGUGGGCGUUGGAAGUUUGACGGGGGCUGCUCCUAGUACGAGAGGACCGGAGUGGACGAACCUCUGGUGUACCGGUUGUAACGCCAGUUGCAUAGCCGGGUAGCUAAGUUCGGAAGAGAUAAGCGCUGAAAGCAUCUAAGCGCGAAACUCGCCUGAAGAUGAGACUUCCCUUGCGGUUUAACCGCACUAAAGGGUCGUUCGAGACCAGGACGUUGAUAGGUGGGGUGUGGAAGCGCGGUAACGCGUGAAGCUAACCCAUACUAAUUGCCCGUGAGGCUUGACUCUAU